UGUCGGGGAAGGGUGAGAACCUUCGAUUAAGGUUCGACUCGAGCGAAAGCGAGAGAACGUUGCCAACGGCAACGGCCCGAAGGGUGAGGAGCGAAGCGACGAAUAAUCCUUCCCCCACCACCA
RNAcentral lists this small RNA (123 nucleotides) under Citrobacter freundii. Its description in RNAcentral is "RtT RNA". It matches the Rfam family "RtT RNA". Rfam says of the family: This family represents a bacterial cis-regulatory element known as RtT RNA. The exact function of RtT is unknown although it is thought that it may be involved in changing the cellular response in relation to amino acid starvation. The record is from RNAcentral. Lineage: Bacteria; Pseudomonadati; Pseudomonadota; Gammaproteobacteria; Enterobacterales; Enterobacteriaceae.